This 521-nucleotide ribosomal RNA is filed under the name uncultured bacterium. RNAcentral's name for it is "bacterial SSU rRNA". It matches the Rfam family "Archaeal small subunit ribosomal RNA", at positions 345 to 866 of the family's 1478-position model. The record is from RNAcentral.
AACCUCCGCAAUGUGAGAAAUCGCGACGGGGGGAUCCCAAGUGCCAUUCUUAACGGGACGGCUUUUCAUUAGUGUAAAGAGCUUUUGGAAUAAGGGCUGGGCAAGACCGGUGCCAGCCGCCGCGGUAACACCGGCAGCUCUAGUGGUAGCAGUUUUUAUUGGGCCUAAAGCGUCCGUAGCCGGUUUAAUAAGUCUCUGGUGAAAUCCUGUAGCUUAACUGUGGGAAUUGCUGGAGAUACUAUUAGACUUGAGACCGGGAGAGGUUAGAGGUACUCCCAGGGUAGAGGUGAAAUUCUGUAAUCCUGGGAGGACCGCCUGUUGCGAAGGCGUCUAACUGGAACGGUUCUGACGGUGAGGGACGAAAGUUAGGGGCGCGAACCGGAUUAGAUACCUGGGUAGUCCUAACUGUAAACGAUGCGGACUUGGUGUUGGGGUGGCUUUGAGCUGCUCCAGUGCCGAAGGGAAGCUGUUAAGUCCGCCGCCUGGGAAGUACGGUCGCAAGACUGAAACUUAAAGGAAUU